AAUUUCGAAAACUUUAAUAAUUAAAUUAUAUUUUUUUAAUUCAAGUGAUCAAGAUAAAAAUUCAUCCACUAUUUAGGGACUAAUGAUAUAUUUAAGGCUUCAACAUGGGCCCGCCACUUCCUUUUUAUAAUUAUUUUUCCCUUUUUUUCAGCCCUUUCCUUUUCUACUGUCUUCGUUCUUUUCUUUCUCUACUUGUCCUUCCCUUCACAACCCUACCACCAUGAGCCACCGCCGUCCAUGGCUUUCUCCGGCUGGUCCCUACCAUUAACACAAAACCGAAGAUCUUUUCACCCUCUCCUCAUUUAAGGCUUAGAUAUUUUAAAAUGGCCUAAAACCCUUCCUAAUCUACCCUUCAGAUCACGAUCGAUCUGCAAAUCCCGCCGUUCAACCGCCUCGAUUUUCCAGUAUGUUAUUCUCCGCACUGGAGCUCCGAACCCGAAAGAUUAGUGGCGUUUCUUUUUAUUUUUUGGCUUCUUUUACUAUUUUUUGAAUACCGACUUUUCUCUGUUUGGAGGCGCGGUUCGGAUGAAGCUUUUCCUUCUUUUCGGUUUUGCAGGCUUCGAUUCAGGGUGCUUAUAACGGAGCAUUGGCGUGGGACUUUGGUGAAGCUGGUGUGUGCAGUAGGGUGGUUGAUGGGAUUUGUCGGCAGAGGUUAUGGUGGUGGCAGUAAUCGGUUGAUGAGGUGGUGACUAUGUGAGGGACCGAAAUGCAUAAUUUGUGAAAGUCAAAGGGCUUUUUAUAUAUACAUACCAUUGGGUUAAAGCCCAAAACUUUUAAAACAUGACUCAAUUUAAAUUAAUGCAAUAAAAAUUCUUCUAAUCUAAAUAAUUAGUAGAUUGGAUAAAA
Gossypium raimondii (Peruvian cotton) is the source of this 846-nucleotide long non-coding RNA. RefSeq lists it as uncharacterized. Lineage: Eukaryota; Viridiplantae; Streptophyta; Magnoliopsida; Malvales; Malvaceae. The transcript is spliced from 2 exons. The record is from RefSeq and is a predicted model, not a curated record.